GUGAGAAAAUUGAUACUUCCUUAUACUGCUCUCAAACUCAAGCCAAUUGAUGUUAAUCUGAAACUCUUUUUCGGUCGACUCAAUCGCUACAAGAAAUUUCCUUCGUUAUCUCUUCCGAAGGGUUCCUCUCUCUCUCUCUCUAUUUAUCUCAACAAAUUUGAUCUGAAAGAAAGAAAAAAGAAAACUAUUUCCUUUCCAUGAAAUACAUACAGAUCUUCUCUCUACCAAACAUUUUUUCUUUGCUAAGGGUUCUUGCUUUUCAAACCAUUUUU
RNAcentral lists this long non-coding RNA (272 nucleotides) under Gossypium barbadense (sea-island cotton). RNAcentral's name for it is "long non-coding RNA (GBAR_LNC020542)". The record is from RNAcentral. Lineage: Eukaryota; Viridiplantae; Streptophyta; Magnoliopsida; Malvales; Malvaceae.